CUCAGAUUGAACGCUGGCGGCAGGCCUAACACAUGCAAGUCGAGCGGAUGACGGGAGCUUGCUCCUUGAUUCAGCGGCGGACGGGUGAGUAAUGCCUAGGAAUCUGCCUGGUAGUGGGGGACAACGUUUCGAAAGGAACGCUAAUACCGCAUACGUCCUACGGGAGAAAGCAGGGGACCUUCGGGCCUUGCGCUAUCAGAUGAGCCUAGGUCGGAUUAGCUAGUUGGUGAGGUAAUGGCUCACCAAGGCGACGAUCCGUAACUGGUCUGAGAGGAUGAUCAGUCACACUGGAACUGAGACACGGUCCAGACUCCUACGGGAGGCAGCAGUGGGGAAUAUUGGACAAUGGGCGAAAGCCUGAUCCAGCCAUGCCGCGUGUGUGAAGAAGGUCUUCGGAUUGUAAAGCACUUUAAGUUGGGAGGAAGGGCAGUACGUUAAUACCGUGCUGUUUUGACGUUACCGACAGAAUAAGCACCGGCUAACUCUGUGCCAGCAGCCGCGGUAAUACAGAGGGUGCAAGCGUUAAUCGGAAUUACUGGGCGUAAAGCGCGCGUAGGUGGUUCGUUAAGUUGGAUGUGAAAGCCCCGGGCUCAACCUGGGAACUGCAUCCAAAACUGGCGAGCUAGAGUAUGGUAGAGGGUGGUGGAAUUUCCUGUGUAGCGGUGAAAUGCGUAGAUAUAGGAAGGAACACCAGUGGCGAAGGCGACCACC
This 711-nucleotide ribosomal RNA is filed under the name Pseudomonas taiwanensis. Its description in RNAcentral is "bacterial SSU rRNA". It matches the Rfam family "Bacterial small subunit ribosomal RNA", at positions 23 to 729 of the family's 1533-position model. The record is from RNAcentral. Lineage: Bacteria; Pseudomonadati; Pseudomonadota; Gammaproteobacteria; Pseudomonadales; Pseudomonadaceae.